This 468-nucleotide ribosomal RNA is filed under the name uncultured bacterium. Its description in RNAcentral is "partial 16S ribosomal RNA". It matches the Rfam family "Bacterial small subunit ribosomal RNA", at positions 28 to 507 of the family's 1533-position model. The record is from RNAcentral.
GACGAACGCUGGCGGCGUGCUUAACACAUGCAAGUCGAACGGAAAGGCCCUGCUUUUGUGGGGUGCUCGAGUGGCGAACGGGUGAGUAACACGUGAGUAACCUGCCCUUGACUUUGGGAUAACUUCAGGAAACUGGGGCUAAUACCGGAUAGGAGCUCCUGCUGCAUGGUGGGCGUUGGAAAGUUUCGGCGGUUGGGGAUGGACUCGCGGCUUAUCAGCUUGUUGGUGGGGUAGUGGCUUACCAAGGCUUUGACGGGUAGCCGGCCUGAGAGGGUGACCGGCCACAUUGGGACUGAGAUACGGCCCAGACUCCUACGGGAGGCAGCAGGGGGGAAUAUUGCACAAUGGGCGGAAGCCUGAUGCAGCAACGCCGCGUGCGGGAUGACGGCCUUCGGGUUGUAAACCGCUUUCGCCUGUGACGAAGCGUGAGUGACGGUAAUGGGUAAAGAAGCACCGGCUAACUACGUG